Molecule: ribosomal RNA, 433 nt
Filed under: uncultured bacterium
Lineage: Bacteria
Description: partial 16S ribosomal RNA
Rfam family: Bacterial small subunit ribosomal RNA
Source: RNAcentral
AACGAACGCUGGCGGCAUGCCUAACACAUGCAAGUCGAACGAGACCUUCGGGUCUAGUGGCGCACGGGUGCGUAACGCGUGGGAACCUGCCCUUAGGUUCGGAAUAACUCCCCGAAAGGGGUGCUAAUACCGGAUAAUGUCUUCGGACCAAAGAUUUAUCGCCUUUGGAUGGGCCCGCGUUGGAUUAGCUGGUUGGUAGGGUAAAAGCCUACCAAGGCGACGAUCCAUAGCUGGUCUGAGAGGAUGAUCAGCCACACUGGGACUGAGACACGGCCCAGACUCCUACGGGAGGGAGCAGUGGGGAAUAUUGGACAAUGGGCGAAAGCCUGAUCCAGCAAUGCCGCGUGAGUGAUGAAGGCCUUAGGGUUGUAAAGCUCUUUUACCCGGGAUGAUAAUGACAGUACCGGGAGAAUAAGCUCCGGCUAACUCCGUG